CCUACGGGAGGCAGCAGUGGGGAAUAUUGCACAAUGGGGGAAACCCUGAUGCAGCGACGCCGCGUGAAGGAAGAAGUAUUUCGGGAUGUAAACUUCUAUUAGCAGGGAAGAAAAUGACGGUACCUGACUAAGAAGCCCCGGCUAACUACGUGCCAGGAGCCGUGGUAAUACGGAGGCGGCAAGCGUUAUCCGGAUUUACUGGGUGUAAAGGGAGCGUAGGCGGUUUAGCAAGUCAGAAGUGAAAGCCCGGGGCUCAACUCCGGGACUGCUUUUGAUACUGGUGAACUGAAUUGCAGGCGAGGUAAGUGGAAUUCCUAGUGUAGCGGUGAAAUGCGUAGAUAUUAGGAGGAACACCAGUGGCGAAGGCGGCUUACUGGACUGUAAAUGACGCUGAGGCUCGAAAGCGUGGGGAGCAAACAGGAUUAGAUACCCCUGUAGUC
Molecule: ribosomal RNA, 440 nt
Filed under: uncultured bacterium
Lineage: Bacteria
Description: partial 16S ribosomal RNA
Rfam family: Bacterial small subunit ribosomal RNA
Source: RNAcentral